Molecule: ribosomal RNA, 253 nt
Filed under: uncultured bacterium
Lineage: Bacteria
Description: partial 16S ribosomal RNA
Rfam family: Bacterial small subunit ribosomal RNA
Source: RNAcentral
UACGAAGGGGGCGAGCGUUGUUCGGAUUUACUGGGCGUAAAGGGCGCGCAGGCGGCUCAUUUUGUCAGGCGUGAAAGCCCCGGGCUUAACCUGGGAACUGCGUUUGAUACGGAUGGGCUAGAGUUCGGGAGAGGAGAGUGGAAUUCCCAGUGUAGAGGUGAAAUUCGUAGAUAUUGGGAAGAACACCGGUGGCGAAGGCGGCUCUCUGGACCGAUACUGACGCUGAGGCGCGAAAGCAUGGGGAGCAAACAGG